RNAcentral lists this non-coding RNA (163 nucleotides) under human gut metagenome. The record is from RNAcentral.
UUACGGUGUAUGCGUAAUAGCAUACUGAAAAGGGAAUGCGGUGAGAAUCCGCAACAGUCACGCUGCUGUAUGGUGGACGAAAGCCCGAUUAUGCCACUGAAGUGCAUUACUUUGGGAAGGCGGGCGAGUAGGGGGAAGCUAAGUCAGAAUAUCUGCCGUAAUU